This 485-nucleotide ribosomal RNA is filed under the name uncultured bacterium. Its description in RNAcentral is "partial 16S ribosomal RNA". It matches the Rfam family "Bacterial small subunit ribosomal RNA", at positions 30 to 506 of the family's 1533-position model. The record is from RNAcentral.
AUUGAACGCUGGCGACAUGCCUUACACAUGCCAGUCGAACGGCAGCACGGGUGCUUGCACCUGGUGGCGAGUGGCGAACGGGUGAGUAAUACAUCGGAACAUGUCCUGUAGUGGGGGAUAGCCCGGCGAAAGCCGGAUUAAUACCGCAUACGAUCUACGGAUGAAAGCGGGGGACCUUCGGGCCUCGCGCUAUAGGGUUGGCCGAUGGCUGAUUAGCUAGUUGGUGGGGUAAAGGCCUACCAAGGCGACGAUCAGUAGCUGGUCUGAGAGGACGACCAGUCACACUGGGACUGAGACACGGCCCAGACUCCUACGGGAGGCAGCAGUGGGGAAUUUUGGACAAUGGGCGAAAGCCUGAUCCAGCAAUGCCGCGUGUGUGAAGAAGGCCUUCGGGUUGUAAAGCACUUUUGUCCGGAAAGAAAUCCUUGGCCCUAAUACGGUCGGGGGAUGACGGUACCGGAAGAAUAAGCACCGGCUAACUACGU